UCACUUUGUGUAAAGAACACACACGUAUCGACACCUUACGCCGGGGUGCCUGGGCAGCAUUACUGCUGAACGGGUCGGUUGUAUGGGAUACGUGGAGGCCUAAC
This 104-nucleotide small RNA is filed under the name uncultured Erwinia sp. RNAcentral describes it as "t44 RNA". It matches the Rfam family "t44 RNA". From Rfam's summary of the family: This family consists of a number of bacterial RNA genes of between 135 and 170 bases in length. The t44 gene is found between the map and rpsB genes in all species in the full alignment apart from Shigella flexneri. The function of this RNA is unknown. The record is from RNAcentral. Lineage: Bacteria; Pseudomonadati; Pseudomonadota; Gammaproteobacteria; Enterobacterales; Erwiniaceae.